AUGCAAGCAUGUCAAAGCAAAUGAUAAUAAAGAACACACAAAAAAAGUCAUAUUUUGGGAUAAGUAAGGACAGAGUCCUUUCACUGAGGGCUAAACUUACACAGGGAGAUUUUUGGUCAAGAAGAGUCCUACUAGCACUGCAGGGUGCGGUGAAACAUGCUUUAAGUUAGCAAGCUCGUCAUCUUCCUGCUUGUGACCUCCUAGGAAGCACAUACAGGAAAACUUUCAGAUUUUGAGAGUUCAGGAGUGUGGCACUGUCUUUUCCCUUGUCUUCAAAACUUUCAUUUUCUCUCAAACUGUCUUCUGUUUAGAGUGUGAGCUACUUUGUAAAGUUCAAAGCACAAUGGAAUUCACCUCCUUUGGAAGGUAUUGGGUGUUACUACGGUACAAAUAAUAUGUAAAGAAAAGAAAUUUUAUUUAGUUUAAACUUUAUGAAGUAGUACCUAACAAAAAUCUGAAAUCGUUGCUGAAAUUGAGCCGAUGCGUGGAACUUCAAGCUGUGAAGUGGCUGAGCGAAGCUGAAUCUAUCUUUAAGACAGCGUUAAGUAGACGCUAGGACAUUAAACUGCUGCGAGAGCCUCCUAGUGGUGCCUAAAGCUUACAGGGAGUUGCAGUGAAAUCCUACACCUUUGCCUGCACUGUCGAAACUUGCAGAGCUGUGAGCUUGUUCAGGAACAUCGAGUUACAGGACAUCUUAAUGUCUGAAUUUGCAUGAACAAGAUAAGGAAAGACUAGUAGACUAUUAUGAAGUAACUUGUUUUGUAGGAAGAAAUAACUCAGACUUGCUUGCUGUAAGAUUAUUUUACACUCUAAAUUUGGAAGCUAUAUUUAUUUUAUCCAGAAAGAACUAAUGUUCUUUUUAACUUGAUCUUUUAAAGCUGUAGACCUGUGCUAUUUUUUCUACUAUAUAGCUUAUGUGCUAUAACUGUAGUUUAGUUUAUUCUUGUCUACUUUACUUGAGACCUGACAGACUUUUUGAGAAUUUUCUGAUUUCUCACAAUUAAUAUCAUUAAGUUUUUUGUGUACCUAUGCCAUAUUCCUAGACUUCUACUGCAGCCUCAUUUUUGGUUGUGAAAUUUAACUAAGUAUCACUUCCAUGUUUUUCAGUAUGUUUAUUGUAUUUUCUUUUAAUCCAAGUGAUGUUUUCCUCUUUUUGAGGUGUGGGACAUAGGCAUUAUAGCUGCUUGAUGAGAGAGGAAAAAGAAGGUUAUGAACACAAGAAAAGUGUGGUGGCAUCUUGAAGUAACUUUUUCUGAUGCCUUAUCGUUUUUGUAUACUUUUAAAUGUAUAUACACAUAAUGUAGAAACUACUGUGGAUUCAUCCUUUUCAAUUGCUGUCUGGGCAAAUUUCUAAUUUUGUACAAAAUAAAAAUCCAUGAACAUCUGCAUAGCAAUAGAAAGAGUUACACAACUCAAGUAUUGUAAGAAUUUAAUUGCUUUCUGAUAAUGUAUACUCUCAUGGAAUUAAAAUAUUGGAAAAACUGAA
Dromaius novaehollandiae (emu) is the source of this 1486-nucleotide long non-coding RNA. RefSeq lists it as uncharacterized. The transcript has 2 exons. Lineage: Eukaryota; Metazoa; Chordata; Aves; Casuariiformes; Dromaiidae. The record is from RefSeq and is a predicted model, not a curated record.